Molecule: ribosomal RNA, 301 nt
Filed under: uncultured bacterium
Lineage: Bacteria
Description: partial 16S ribosomal RNA
Rfam family: Bacterial small subunit ribosomal RNA
Source: RNAcentral
CAGUCGCCGCGGUAAUACAGAGGGUGCAAGCGUUAAUCGGAUUUACUGGGCGUAAAGCGUGCGUAGGCGGCUUUUUAAGUCGGAUGUGAAAUCCCUGAGCUUAACUUAGGAAUUGCAUUCGAUACUGGGAAGCUAGAGUAUGGGAGAGGAUGGUAGAAUUCCAGGUGUAGCGGUGAAAUGCGUAGAGAUCUGGAGGAAUACCGAUGGCGAAGGCAGCCAUCUGGCCUAAUACUGACGCUGAGGUACGAAAGCAUGGGGAGCAAACAGGAUUAGAUACCCGUGUAGUCCCUGUCUCUUAUAA